RNAcentral lists this ribosomal RNA (948 nucleotides) under uncultured organism. RNAcentral describes it as "bacterial SSU rRNA". It matches the Rfam family "Bacterial small subunit ribosomal RNA", at positions 373 to 1344 of the family's 1533-position model. The record is from RNAcentral.
GGGCGCAAGCCUGAUGCAUCAACGCCGCGUGAUGGAUGAAGGGUUUCGGCUCGUAAACCUCUUUUCUGUGUGAAGAGCAAGGACGGCAGCACAGGAAUAAGUCUCGUCUAACUACUUACCAGGAGUCGCGGUAAGACGUAGGAGGCGAGCGUUAUCCGGAAUUACUGGGCGUAAAGCGCACGCAGGCGGCGCUGCAAGUGGUGCGUGAAAGCUCCCGGAUCAACUGGGAGAGGCCGUACCACAACUAGCGGUUGCUAGAGACAGAUAGAGGUCGACAGAAUUCCGGGUGGAAUGGUGAAAAGCGUAGAGAUCCGGAGGAAUACCAGAGGCGAAGGCGGUCGGCUGGGUCCGUUCCGACGCUGAGGUGCGAAACUCUGGGGAGCGAACGGGAUUAGAAACCCCGGUAGUCCACACCGUUAACGAUGCAUAAUAGUUGUUAGGUGCUUACGGGCGAUGAGUGACGAAGCCUACGCGUUUAGUAUACCUCCUGGGGAGUACGGUCGCAAGGCUAAUACUCAAAGGUAUUGACGGGGGCCAGCACAAGCUAGCGGAGCGUGUGGUAUAAUUCGAGGCUACACGAAGAACAUUACCUGGGCUUUACAUGAUAGUAGUACCGUGGUGGAUACAUCGGGGGACCUUCGGGAGCUAUCACAGGUGCUGCAUGGCUGUCGUCAGCUCGUGCCGUGAGGUGUUCGGUUAAGUCCGGAGACGAGCGCAACCCCUGGCGUUAGUUACAAGUGUCUAACGAGAUUGCCCGGGGAAACUGGGAGGAAGGUGGGGAUGACGUCAAGUCAGCAUGGCCUUUAUGUCCAGGGCGACACACACGUUACAAUGGCCGGUACUAUAGGCAGCCAAGCCACGGUGGUGGAGCGAAUCCAACUAAUCCGGUCUCAGUUCAGACUUGUAGGCUGCAACUCGCCUGCAUGAAGUCGGAGUUGCUAGUAUACG